This is a long non-coding RNA of Seriola dumerili (greater amberjack), 245 nucleotides long. RefSeq lists it as uncharacterized. The transcript has 3 exons. The record is from RefSeq and is a predicted model, not a curated record. Lineage: Eukaryota; Metazoa; Chordata; Actinopteri; Carangiformes; Carangidae.
GCACGGAGCCGGACAGAGAGUCUGAGGGCUGAGAGACACCACGGUCCUCACGGAGUCCAGCAGCAGGAGACAGACUGAAGCUCAGAUGCAGCUGCAGUGUUUCCUCCUGGGACUUUGACUCUGACUGAAGCUGCAGAUGAAAAGCUGAGGAUUUACCUGCUUUUACCUGCUGAGGCUCCGCCCCUCCAGGUGUGUGAUGGGACAGCAGGUCCAGUCUGACGUCCAGCUGAACGCCGACGUUUCCU